This 272-nucleotide ribosomal RNA is filed under the name Staphylococcus aureus. RNAcentral's name for it is "partial 23S ribosomal RNA". It matches the Rfam family "Bacterial large subunit ribosomal RNA", at positions 2401 to 2672 of the family's 2925-position model. Lineage: Bacteria; Bacillati; Bacillota; Bacilli; Caryophanales; Staphylococcaceae. The record is from RNAcentral.
GAAAGCAGGUCAUAGUGAUCCGGUGGUUCUGAAUGGAAGGGCCAUCGCUCAACGGAUAAAAGGUACUCCGGGGAUAACAGGCUGAUACCGCCCAAGAGUUCAUAUCGACGGCGGUGUUUGGCACCUCGAUGUCGGCUCAUCACAUCCUGGGGCUGAAGUAGGUCCCAAGGGUAUGGCUGUUCGCCAUUUAAAGUGGUACGCGAGCUGGGUUUAGAACGUCGUGAGACAGUUCGGUCCCUAUCUGCCGUGGGCGCUGGAGAACUGAGGGGGGC